Long non-coding RNA from Cyprinus carpio (common carp), 2607 nucleotides. The record is from Ensembl. Lineage: Eukaryota; Metazoa; Chordata; Actinopteri; Cypriniformes; Cyprinidae.
AUGAGUAUGUCAACCAUCCCCACCAGUUUUCCUGAGAGUACAGUGCAGUCCUCAUCUCCUGAACUCUCAGAUGAGCUCACCACUGCCCUCGCCGCAGGGCGAUGGUGGGCAAUAAUGGAGGUUUCUUCUCCUAUAUCUGAAGAGUCUGAGUAUGGGGACCUCACCUUAGUGCAGUGGUGGGGAACAAUGGAGGAAGGAGAAACGUCAUGCCCCAAGUCUCUGGUCUUCAGUGAUGAAUCUGAGAAGGCUGAGUCCUCGCACUCAGGCUUCCCAGCUGCAACACUGAAGACCAAGGAGCUGUGGAGGCAGAAGAAGACACAGGGUCCACCCAUGCCUCCCAGGUCCCAACAGGGAGCACCUGUGCAUGCAUAUACCAAGAAGAGGGACCACACCUCAACCCUUGUCUUCAACUAUGCAUCUAAGAAGGCUGAUUCUCCACACUCAGGCUUUACAGAUGCAAUAGUGAAGACCACGGAUCAGCAGAGGAAGUGGAGGCAGAAGAAGCCUCGGGGAGCACCUGUGCUUGCCGAGUCUGAGAGGGCUGAGUGUGGGGACUCAGAAUUCUCUAAUGAAAUACUGAAGACCACUAAGCAGGGGAGGCAACAGCAAAGGAAGUGGACCGAGAAGAAGCCUCAGGUAGCACCUGAGCCUGCUGGGUACCCACAGGGACCACCUGUGACCACUGGCUCUCAACGAAGAGGAAAGCUCAUGAUCCCCGAGCAUCUGAGGCAUCAUCUGCUUAAGGCCGCUUCUGAACUGGAAACACCUAUGCAAGCUAGGUCCCCACAGAGAGCACCAGUGCCCACAGCGUCUCCUCAACACACACCCAUGUGCACCAAGUCUCUACAGAGAGAAGCAAUGCCUUCCCCAAAGGUGCCAAAACCAAAGAUCCCUGAGCAACUGAGGCAAGAGCUGCUGCAGAAGAAGCCCAACAAGACCCAAGAGAGGCAAAGGCUCAAGAUACCUGAGCCACUAAGUCAGGAGCUGCUGCAGCUGUCGGCUCGAGCCUCUUCUGUUCAAGGAGCACCUGCACCCAACAAGACCCCAGAGAGGCAAAUAAUUAAACUCCCUCAGCCGCUGAGGCAGGAGCUCCUGCAGGUUUCGUCUUGUGCCUCUUCUGAGAAGGGAGCACCUGUGCCUCAAAAGACCCCAGAGAGCCAAAAGCUCAAGAUACCUGAGCGACUGAGUCAAGAGCUGCUGCAGCUAUCACCUCACACCACUUCUGUGAAGGAAGCACCCAAACCCACCAAGAGCCGAUACAGGCUCAAGAUACCUGAGCUGCUGAGUCAGGAGCUGCUGCAGCUGUCGGCUCAAGCCUCUUCUGUUCAAGGAGCACCUGCACCCAACAAGACCCCGCAGAGUCAAAGACUUAAAAUCCCUCAGCCGCUGAGGCAGGAGCUCCUGCAGCUAUUACCUCAAACCACUUCUGUGAAGGAAGCACCCACGCCCACCAAGACCCGAGACAGGCUCAAGAUACCUGAGCCGCUGAGGCAGGAGCUGCUGCAGCUGUCGGCUCGAACCUCUUCUGAGAAGGGAGCACCUGCACCCAACAAGACCCCGGAGAGGCAAAGACUUAAAAUCCCUCAGCCGCUGAGGCAGGAGCUCCUGCAGCUGUCGGCUCGAGCCUCUUCUGUUCAAGGAGCACCUGUGCCUCAAAAGACCCCAGAGAGGCAAAGACUUAAACUCCCUCAGCCGCUGAGGCAGGAGCUCCUGCAGGUUUCAUCUUGUGCCUCUUCUGAGAAGGGAGCACCUGUGCCUCAAAAGACCCCAGAGAGGCAAAAGCUCAAGAUACCUGAGCGACUGAGGAAGGAGUUGCUGCAGCAGAAGCCUCAAGCCUGUCCUGUACAGGGUGCUCCCAUGCCUUCCAAGUCCCCACAGGAAGCACCUUUACCUUACAGGAACCCUGUGCAUGCCGGGACCCCACAGGGAGCAGGAGUGUUUGCCAGGUCUCCACCGGCAGAGGCAGUGCCCGCUGAGCCUCCGAAAGGAGCAACAGUUCCCUCCGGAACUACGAAGACAAGAAAACGGAGGCUUGCUGAGGAUCAAAGCAUUCCUGUCUCUGCCACCCAGGCACUACCCAUGCCCUCCAGGACCUCAAGCGUGACGCCUGUGCAUUCUGGGACCCUACAGGGAGCACUUGUGACCAAAAGUUCCCCACAACAGGGAUCAAAUCCCAGAAUCACUGAGCAGCAGAGGCAGAAGCGGAGGGAGCAGUGGAGACAGCAGCAGAGACAGCGGAGGCAGCAGAAAGCAUCAGACAACGUCGAUGUGUGUGAGCCGCCUCCACAAAAAAAGCUGGGUGUGGAAAUCGAAAAGGUGCAGCUGAAGCUCAAACUGGGGAAGCAUCAAACCCCAAAGCCCAGGUCCCAGCUCACCCUGAAGAUGGAUCAUGCAGCUGUGGGUCAGCAGUCACCUCCAGAAAAAAAGCAGUGCAUGGCAAACAAAAUCAAAGCCCAGCAGUUGGGACCAAGCGGCUUAAAGCAUUUAUGUAGCAUAUUCAUAUGUUUAACUGAAUAUUUGUAAAUAUUUAUUAUUAGUAUAUAUUGUGUUUGUCCAUAUUUAAUAUGAUUGUAUGCAUAAUAAAAAAUAAAAAAUAAUCUAUCUAUC